UACAUGGGGUGCAAACGUUGCUCGGAAUCAUUGGGCGUAAAGCGCACGUAGGCGGUUCGUUAUGUCGGAUGUGAAAGCCCUUGGCUUAACCGAGGAAGUGCAUCCGAAACUGGCGAGCUAGAGUACUAAAGAGGAUCGCGGAAUUCCCGGUGUAGAGGUGAAAUUCGUAGAUAUCGGGAGGAACACCGGUGGCGAAGGCGGCGAUCUGGGUAGAUACUGACGCUGAGGUGCGAAAGCGUGGGGAGCAAACAGG
Molecule: ribosomal RNA, 253 nt
Filed under: uncultured bacterium
Lineage: Bacteria
Description: partial 16S ribosomal RNA
Rfam family: Bacterial small subunit ribosomal RNA
Source: RNAcentral